This 891-nucleotide long non-coding RNA is filed under the name Phascolarctos cinereus (koala). RNAcentral describes it as "lncRNA (ENSPCIG00000034889.1)". Lineage: Eukaryota; Metazoa; Chordata; Mammalia; Diprotodontia; Phascolarctidae. The record is from RNAcentral.
CUCCUGGGACAAACCGGGCGCGUGACUGGACCCCGGCCUGCAGAGGCCAGACCAACCGCAAGGGGGCAGGGCGGGAGAGAGGGCCGGGCCAACCAACCACGAGACAGGGAGAGGGAGACUGCUCGAGCUCUGCCCGCUCAACUGUCUGCCGGCCCGGCCGGGAGAACUGACGGACCGACGGAGAAAGAAAGGCUUGGGCCAGGGGAGCCCGGGACCGCACCAUCCGUACUGCGGCCGGGGGGGGGGGGAACCGGCCGAACCAUCAGCCCGACGGGACGGGAGGGAGCACCCUCGGGGCGGGAAGACGAGCCCCCGGCGGCGCGUGACAGGGCGAAGCGAGGAGUGAGCUGACACUAAACUGAGCUAACCAGGCCCAUUCCUGCACAGUUGAUCUUGAGGUAAGCCUUCAUCCUUCCUACCCAUAUAAUAAUAAUUACCACUCACUUGUGUCGCUUCACAGUUUGCAAGAAACCUUCUUUCUUAACAACCCUGAGAAGUAAGUAGUUUAAGUGUUAUUAUCCCCAUUUUACAGAUAAGGAAGCUGAGGCCCAGAAAGGCAAAGCGAUUUGCCCGAGAUCACACAGUAGUAACAUCUCCAGGAUUUAUAUCCAGAUUUCUUGACUCCAAGUCCAGCUUUCUAUCCACUGCACCAUUCUGUUCACCCUUCUCCUUUGGCUUCUUACUCUCUAGGUAGACAGAGUAUCUGGACAGAGGUGCCAGGCUGCCCUGUGGACUCUUGGGACCUUUAGGGAGUCCAAGGAUAAUCCUCUUCUUUUUAGUUUAGCAGCCACUGUAAGCAACCUUAUUCUCCCUCUUCCUGACCCAGGGACACUGCUCUCUGACCUUUUAUCCUGAAAGGGUGGUAUGAAUAAUUCUCCUAUCAUCUCCAAG